AUCCCAUGAUGAGGACACUCGAGUAUGUAGUCUUGAAAAUGCUCCCAAGCUUCUAGGACUGUCUUAUCUUGUUGUUGCUGAAAGCUUGAUAUCUUCCCAUGUAGCAU
Molecule: small nucleolar RNA, 107 nt
Organism: Sorghum bicolor (sorghum)
Lineage: Eukaryota; Viridiplantae; Streptophyta; Magnoliopsida; Poales; Poaceae
Rfam family: Plant small nucleolar RNA R71
About the family: R71 is a member of the C/D box family of snoRNAs containing the C (UGAUGA) and D (CUGA) box motifs.
Source: Rfam